CCUUUCGCACCGAGGCUGUUGCUCCCCAGCACCUUCAUGGUCCCCAACUUGGAAGUAACUUGUGGCCUCAACCCUGUGAAGUCGGAAAUCUUCCUAGCACCCAUAGGGAGAUCAAGGCCAAAGGCAAGUUCAAGGCCAGACUCUGUGACAAACCCAAGGCUGAGGCAUGCCUCAUGAAGACACUGAGCCUGCCAGGACCCCUGGCCUUUAUCAGUGCACACGAGGGGCUGGGGGGCCUGAGGGACGUGUGGUUACAGAAGCCCUUGCUUCAGUCCUCACUGCCCCUUUCCUGGAUGCAGCACCAAAUAAAAAAGAGCAAGUGACAUAUUUUGAGGUUUGGCUCCCUUUCUGCAGGAGGGUGAAGAGAGGGUAGGGUGGGGCUUGGUACCCCAAGGUGCAGAACAAGAGCUGGAGACCAUCAGUAACUCCUCCAUGAAGCAAGGCCCAGAACUCCCACCCAGCGACAGACAUGGGGCACCCUGUUCAGGGACUCCCCUGGCGUGUCUGAUCUCUGGGUGGGGUGCUAAGCCUCAUGGUACAGAUGGAGACAGCCUGCAUGAGGAGACAUGCCUUUCCCAGGAUCGCAUGACUGAGCAGAAGGCUGGGACGCUUCACCAGGACUGCUGACCACUGGGAGUCUCCCCAGUCCCUGAGCCCAGAGGAGGGGCUGGGCUGGCAGCAGAAAGACAUCUAAUGGGCAUGAGAUUUCACAGCAGGGAAGCGUGGACCUUGUUCAACUCCAGCUCUUCCCCAAAAGAAGUGGGUCUGUCCCUUCCUCAGCAAGGGGCCAAGGUCACCUAAAAAGGAAAUAGCCAACCAGCCACAGCCGUCUGAAGAACUUUGGUAUUUCUAAGUUGUAAUGGGUUGAAUGGUUUGGUACCUCCCACUCCUGGCCCUCUAGAAAGAAAUGUCUUCUUGGAACCUGCGACUGUGACUUUAUUUAGAAAAGGGGUCUUUGCAGAUGUAAGUAAGUUGAAGGUUUUGAGAUGCAAUCAUCCUGGAUUAUCUGGAUGGGCCCUAAGACCCAGAACAAGUGUCCUUCUAAGAGAAUAGAAGACACAAAUGAGGAGGCCAUGUGCAGAUAGAGGCAGAGCCAGCAUUGGGACAGAAACAGCCAACUUUAACAACCACAUAUUGAACUCAGCAGAAAGCACGGUCCAUGAUAAACAUUUACUUUCUCAGCAAAUCCUCAAAACGAUACUAUGAGGUUGGUGAGGCCAUGUGACUGAGCUUGCAACGGAACGGAAGUGCAGUUUCAGAGCUGCUCGGAUCUUCCCCUCAGAAGUAGCGGGGAUCCCAUCAGUGACGGCACUGAGAAAGAGGCAGGAGGAGGUCGCCGAGUGGCUUGCUGGAACCUCCCCACUGCCCUGGAACCUCCCAACUCCUCUCACCAGUAGGUGGCUGUGGGUCUCCCAGCUCUCUGUGAGUGGGUGAAGAACUUCUGGAGGCGGCUUGCUGUCUGGGGACAACUGGAGAGGAGUACGAGUCCAGAGGUCUCCCUGGAGGAGGGAGACAAAUCACAAGUUUAAAUCACUUGGGUUCACCCACAAAAAAAGGAGCCCCCCCCCCCGGAAGAAACACUGCUCUGCUUAAGGCGGUAACACUAGGACUAUAACCCAGACGUCUUCCUGAGAAACAAGUUUUCACAUGGCUGGCUCUUCAAGUGUCACCAUCACAAAGAGGCCUGACUCCUCAAUCUACUGUCUGCUCCCCUCCUGCAGUUCCUCACCAUGCUACCUUCAGUACGUCAACCAGCUCCUCCCGACUGAGGCUCUGUGGCCGCAGCAGCCCCGGGAAAGGCUGGUUCCCCACGGGUCGGAACCAUUUGCUGGAGCCUCGAGGUUGCAGCUGAUGCCUGGAAAAGGUAGGACCUUUCCAGCCUUCCAGAUGGAACCCCACCCUCACCUUGUAAAGAACAGAAGCAAAGAAGAUGUAUCAACCUAAAUCAUUUAUUGCGAACUCUGAUGUCACACAUUCGUAGGCUUGACAAUUGACUCGGGAGCAUUUGGGACGGGAGG
This is a long non-coding RNA of Camelus dromedarius (Arabian camel), 2018 nucleotides long. RefSeq lists it as uncharacterized. The record is from RefSeq and is a predicted model, not a curated record. NCBI's taxonomy places the organism in Eukaryota, Metazoa, Chordata, Mammalia, Artiodactyla, Camelidae. The transcript is spliced from 7 exons.